RNAcentral lists this ribosomal RNA (257 nucleotides) under uncultured microorganism. RNAcentral describes it as "partial 16S ribosomal RNA". It matches the Rfam family "Bacterial small subunit ribosomal RNA", at positions 346 to 592 of the family's 1533-position model. The record is from RNAcentral.
GUGCAGCAGUCGCGAAUCUUCCACAAUGGGGGAAACCCUGAUGGAGCGACGCCGCGUGCGGGAUGAAGGCCCUAUGGGUUGUAAACCGCUGUUCAGUGGAAAGAACAUCCUCCGGCUGAAUAGGUCGGAGGCCUGACGUUACCACUGCAGAAAGUCCCGGCCAACUCCGUGCCAGCAGCCGCGGGUAAUACGGGGGGGACGAGCGUUGUCCGGAAUCAUUGGGCGUAAAGGGCGCGUAGGCGGCGAGGAAAGUCGAA